RNAcentral lists this ribosomal RNA (497 nucleotides) under uncultured bacterium. Its description in RNAcentral is "partial 16S ribosomal RNA". It matches the Rfam family "Bacterial small subunit ribosomal RNA", at positions 28 to 507 of the family's 1533-position model. The record is from RNAcentral.
GAUGAACGCUGGCGGCGUGCCUAAUACAUGCAAGUCGAGCGAACAGACGAGGAGCUUGCUCCUCUGACGUUAGCGGCGGACGGGUGAGUAACACGUGGAUAACCUACCUAUAAGACUGGGAUAACUUCGGGAAACCGGAUCUAAUACCGGAUAAUAUAUUGAACCGCAUGGUUCUAUAGUGAAAGACGGUUUUGCUGUCACUUAUAGAUGGAUCCGCGCCGCAUUAGCUAGUUGGUAAGGUAACGGCUUACCAAGGCAACGAUGCGUAGCCGACCUGAGAGGGUGAUCGGCCACACUGGAACUGAGACACGGUCCAGACUCCUACGGGAGGCAGCAGUAGGGAAUCUUCCGCAAUGGGCGAAAGCCUGACGGAGCAACGCCGCGUGAGUGAUGAAGGUCUUCGGAUCGUAAAACUCUGUUAUUAGGGAAGAACAAAUGUGUAAGUAACUAUGCACGUCUUGACGGUACCUAAUCAGAAAGCCACGGCUAACUACGUG